UACGUAGGGUGCAAGCGUUAUCCGGAAUUAUUGGGCGUAAAGAGCUCGUAGGCGGUCUGUCGCGUCUGCUGUGAAAUCUGGGGGCUCAACCCCCAGCCUGCAGUGGGUACGGGCAGACUAGAGUGCGGUAGGGGAGAUUGGAACUCCUGGUGUAGCGGUGGAAUGCGCAGAUAUCAGGAGGAACACCGAUGGCGAAGGCAGAUCUCUGGGCCGUAACUGACGCUGAGGAGCGAAAGCAUGGGGAGCGAACAGG
This 253-nucleotide ribosomal RNA is filed under the name uncultured bacterium. RNAcentral describes it as "partial 16S ribosomal RNA". It matches the Rfam family "Bacterial small subunit ribosomal RNA", at positions 524 to 776 of the family's 1533-position model. The record is from RNAcentral.